Molecule: ribosomal RNA, 492 nt
Filed under: uncultured bacterium
Lineage: Bacteria
Description: partial 16S ribosomal RNA
Rfam family: Bacterial small subunit ribosomal RNA
Source: RNAcentral
AGUGAACGCUGGCGGUAGGCCUAACACAUGCAAGUCGGACGGCAGCACAGUAAGAGCUUGCUCUUACGGGUGGCGAGUGGCGGACGGGUGAGGAAUACAUCGGAAUCUACUUUUUCGUGGGGGAUAACGUAGGGAAACUUACGCUAAUACCGCAUACGACCUACGGGUGAAAGCAGGGGAUCUUCGGACCUUGCGCGAUUGAAUGAGCCGAUGUCGGAUUAGCUAGUUGGCGGGGUAAGGGCCCACCAAGGCGACGAUCCGUAGCUGGUCUGAGAGGAUGAUCAGCCACACUGGAACUGAGACACGGUCCAGACUCCUACGGGAGGCAGCAGUGGGGAAUAUUGGACAAUGGGCGCAAGCCUGAUCCAGCCAUACCGCGUGGGUGAAGAAGGCCUUCGGGUUGUAAAGCCCUUUUGUUGGGAAAGAAAAGCAGCAGGUUAAUACCCCGCUGUUCUGACGGUACCCAAAGAAUAAGCACCGGCUAACUUCGUG